Molecule: ribosomal RNA, 726 nt
Filed under: Talaromyces trachyspermus
Lineage: Eukaryota; Fungi; Ascomycota; Eurotiomycetes; Eurotiales; Trichocomaceae
Description: eukaryotic LSU rRNA
Rfam family: 5.8S ribosomal RNA (bases 401-554)
Source: RNAcentral
CACGGCAGCGAAAUGGGCAAUCCGCAGCGAAGCCCCUACGGCCUCCUGCCUGCGCGGCGGGAAGGCUACGGGGAACGUUCACAGACUAAGUGGAAGUGGGUGGGAUGCCGAAUCCUGCUUAAGAUAUAGUCGGGCCCCCUGGGAGACCAGGGGGGCAAGUACACUGCUCGUGCGUGUGUAAGCUGUUCCGUAGGUGAACCUGCGGAAGGAUCAUUACCGAGUGCGGGCCCGCUCCGGGCCCAACCUCCCACCCGUGUCUCUUGCGUACUUUGUUGCUUUGGCGGGCCCACUGGGUCACUCCGGUCGCCGGGGAGCGCUAUGCUCCCGGGCCCGUGCCCGCCAGAGCACCCCUGUGAACCCUGAUGAAGAGAGGCUGUCUGAGUCCCACGAUAAUCGUUAAAACUUUCAACAAUGGAUCUCUUGGUUCCGGCAUCGAUGAAGAACGCAGCGAAAUGCGAUAAGUAAUGUGAAUUGCAGAAUUCCGUGAAUCAUCGAAUCUUUGAACGCACAUUGCGCCCCCUGGCAUUCCGGGGGGCAUGCCUGUCCGAGCGUCAUUUCUGCCCUCAAGCGCGGCUUGUGUGUUGGGCGUGGUCCCCCUGGCUUUGGCGGGGACCUGCCCGAAAGGCAGCGGCGACGUCCCGCCUAGUCCUCGAGCGUAUGGGGCUCUGUCACGCGCUCGGGAGGGACUGGUGGGCGUUGGUCACCCCUUAUUCUUUCUACGGUGAC